GGACUACUGGGGUAUCUAAUCCCGUUCGCUCCCCUAGCUUUCGCGCCUCAGCGUCAGUCGCAGGCCAGGACGCCGCCUUCGCCACUGGUGUUCCUCCGGGUCUCUACGCAUUUCACCGCUACUCCCGGAGUUCCACGUCCCUCUCCUGCACUCAUACAGCACAGCCGUUAUCGGUGACCCUCCCCAGUUGAGCCGGGGGCUUUCACACCGAUCGUACUGCGCCGCCUACGCGCGCUUUACGCCCAGUAAUUCCGGACAACGCUCGCCUCCUACGUAUUACCGCGGCUGCUGGCAC
RNAcentral lists this ribosomal RNA (295 nucleotides) under uncultured bacterium. RNAcentral describes it as "partial 16S ribosomal RNA". The record is from RNAcentral.